CCUACGGGUGGCUGCAGUGGGGAAUUUUGGACAAUGGGGGCAACCCUGAUCCAGCCAUUCCGCGUGAGUGAAGAAGGCCUUCGGGUUGUAAAGCUCUUUCGGCCGGGAAGAAAUCGCAUCUCCUAAUACGGGGUGUGGAUGACGGUACCGGCAGACGAAGCACCGGCUAACUACGUGCCAGCAGCCGCGGUAAUACGUAGGGUGCGAGCGUCAAUCGGAGUUACUGGGCGGCACACUAAGACAGGCGGCAAAUCCCCGGGCUUAACCUGGGAACUGCGUUUGUGACUGGUGGGCUUGAGUGCGGCAGAGGGGGGUGGAAUUCCACGUGUAGCAGUGAAAUGCGUAGAGAUGUGGAGGAACACCGAUGGCGAAGGCAGCCCCCUGGGUCGACACUGACGCUCAUGCACGAAAGCGUGGGGAGCAAACAGGAUUAGAUACCCCAGUAGUC
Molecule: ribosomal RNA, 448 nt
Filed under: uncultured bacterium
Lineage: Bacteria
Description: partial 16S ribosomal RNA
Rfam family: Bacterial small subunit ribosomal RNA
Source: RNAcentral